This 253-nucleotide ribosomal RNA is filed under the name uncultured prokaryote. RNAcentral describes it as "partial 16S ribosomal RNA". It matches the Rfam family "Bacterial small subunit ribosomal RNA", at positions 524 to 776 of the family's 1533-position model. The record is from RNAcentral.
UACAGAGGGGGCGAGCGUUGUUCGGAAUUACUGGGCGUAAAGGGCGCGUAGGCGGCCUUCUAAGUCGAACGUGAAAUCCCCGGGCUCAACCCGGGAACUGCGUCCGAUACUGCAUGGCUUGAGUCCCGGAGAGGGUGGUGGAAUUCCCAGUGUAGCGGUGAAAUGCGUAGAUAUUGGGAGGAACACCGGUGGCGAAGGCGGCCACCUGGACGGGUACUGACGCUGAUGCGCGAAAGCGUGGGGAGCAAACAGG